CGUCACCCACGCUCGCCCCCAAAGCUCCACCGAGCCGCCGCCUGUGCUCGGCCGCUCCCGGCCCUCUCCGGCUCCGGCGAGUUAGGGCUUUGGUCUGCCCCACCGAGCUCUAUAUUUCCCCCCAAAACUAUCUGGUCAAUCCUGCCUCUCGCGCUCAUGCUCACCUCCGGAACCCUAGCUACUGCCAGCCGAUUCGGCCGUUGACGCCCCUACUCCGGCUGGCUCCGGUCGUCCCCGCACCACCCUGACCUCCUCCUCUCCGAUGAUCGCUGGACGGCAGCGUUGCUGCAACCCGAACGCCAUUGAUCUCCUGCCUUGUGACAUUGCUGUCGUGGUAGUGUAUUGACGGUGAGGUGGUGCUUCUGUGAGCUGCGACGCUCGACAUCGAUGGACGGCGCUAUAGGCGCAACCUCGGUGUCGGUGUACUGGUGGUGCUGUUGCUGUUCCCGCCGCAUCCUCGACCUCGACGACGGCGGGACGGUGCCCUGGACGCAACCCCGGCACCGGUCUCUUCCUUUAUUCGCCCGCACCACUGUACAAGACAAAAGAAAAAUAGAAGAUAUUUAGAUAGGAUUAGCUUAGUUUUUCUUCCUGUAUUUUAUUCUUGUAAUAUUUGUAAGUUGUAUUAAUAUUGGAUAUUGUAAAUGACUUUGUAAAUGUGUAUUCAAUUAAUGAAAUGUAAUUUCCCUA
This is a long non-coding RNA of Lolium rigidum, 690 nucleotides long. RefSeq lists it as uncharacterized. The transcript has 2 exons. The record is from RefSeq and is a predicted model, not a curated record. Lineage: Eukaryota; Viridiplantae; Streptophyta; Magnoliopsida; Poales; Poaceae.